Molecule: ribosomal RNA, 195 nt
Filed under: uncultured eukaryote
Lineage: Eukaryota
Description: partial 18S ribosomal RNA
Rfam family: Eukaryotic small subunit ribosomal RNA
Source: RNAcentral
CCAAACCUGGUUGAUCCUGCCAGUAGUCAUAUGCUUGUCUCAAAGAUUAAGCCAUGCAUGUCUAAGUAUAAAUGAUUCUAUACUGUGAAACUGCGAAUGGCUCAUUAAAUCAGUUAUAGUUUAUUUGAUAGUACCUUACUACUUGGAUAACCGUGGUAAUUCUAGAGCUAAUACAUGCAUCAAAACUCGACUGUC